GGGAAGCCGGUCGAAGUCCGGCGCUGACCCGCAACCGUAGGCCGCAGCCCCGUCGUCCCGGCGGGUGCUGAGGUGAGCCGGAGUACC
This 87-nucleotide non-coding RNA is filed under the name Angustibacter sp. The record is from RNAcentral. Lineage: Bacteria; Bacillati; Actinomycetota; Actinomycetes; Kineosporiales; Kineosporiaceae.